This 380-nucleotide ribosomal RNA is filed under the name uncultured eukaryote. RNAcentral describes it as "partial 18S ribosomal RNA". It matches the Rfam family "Eukaryotic small subunit ribosomal RNA", at positions 592 to 976 of the family's 1831-position model. The record is from RNAcentral.
CAAUAGCGUAUAUUAAAGUUGUUGCAGUUAAAAAGCUCGUAGUUGGAUUUGUGGCGUACGGUGUGUUCCGGGCACUUGUUGUCUGAGUAACCUGCUGUUGCCAUCCUUGGGUGGAACCUGUGUGGCAUUAGGUUGUCGUGCAGGGGAUGCCCAUCAUUUACUGUGAAAAAAUUAGAGUGUUCAAAGCAGGCUUAUGCCGUUGAAUAUAUGAGCAUGGAAUAAUGAGAUAGGACUUUUUUGCUAUUUUGUUGGUUUGCGCAAAGAGGUAAUGAUUAAUAGGGACAGUUGGGGGUAUUCGUAUUCCAUUGUCAGAGGUGAAAUUCUUGGAUUUUUGGAAGACGAACUACUGCGAAAGCAUUUACCAAGGAUGUUUUCAUUAA